Molecule: ribosomal RNA, 381 nt
Filed under: uncultured bacterium
Lineage: Bacteria
Description: bacterial SSU rRNA
Rfam family: Bacterial small subunit ribosomal RNA
Source: RNAcentral
UACGGGGGGUGCAAGCGUUAAUCGGAAUCACUGGGCGUAAAGGGUGCGUAGGCGGUACGUUAGGUCUGUCGUGAAAUCCCCGGGCUCAACCUGGGAAUGGCGGUAGAAACCGGCGAACUAGAGUAUGGGAGAGGGUGGUGGAAUUCCAGGUGUAGCGGUGAAACGCGUAGAGAUCUGGAGGAACAUCAGUGGCGAAGGCGGCCACCUGGCCCAAUACUGACGCUGAGGCACGAAAGCGUGGGGAGCAAACAGGAUUAGAUACCCCUGGUAGUCCACGCCCUAAGCGAUGAAUACUAGAUGUUUGGUACCUAGCGUACUGAGUGUCGUAGCUAACGCGAUAAGUAUUCCGCCUGGGAAGUACGGCCGCAAGGUUAAAACUCA